GGAUCCAGACUUUGAUUAUGGCUCAGGAUGAACGCUAGCUACAGGCUUAACACAUGCAAGUCGAGGGGCAGCAUUUUAGUUUGCUUGCAAACUGAAGAUGGCGACCGGCGCACGGGUGAGUAACACGUAUCCAACCUGCCGAUAACUCCGGAAUAGCCUUUCGAAAGAAAGAUUAAUACCGGAUAGCAUACGAAUAUCGCAUGAUAUUUUUAUUAAAGAAUUUCGGUUAUCGAUGGGGAUGCGUUCCAUUAGUUUGUUGGCGGGGUAACGGCCCACCAAGACUACGAUGGAUAGGGGUUCUGAGAGGAAGGUCCCCCACAUUGGAACUGAGACACGGUCCAAACUCCUACGGGAGGCAGCAGUGAGGAAUAUUGGUCAAUGGGCGAGAGCCUGAACCAGCCAAGUAGCGUGAAGGAUGAAGGCUCUAUGGGUCGUAAACUUCUUUUAUAUGGGAAUAAAGUUUUCCACGUGUGGAAUUUUGUAUGUACCAUAUGAAUAAGGAUCG
This 505-nucleotide ribosomal RNA is filed under the name uncultured Bacteroidota bacterium. RNAcentral describes it as "bacterial SSU rRNA". It matches the Rfam family "Bacterial small subunit ribosomal RNA", at positions 1 to 495 of the family's 1533-position model. The record is from RNAcentral. Lineage: Bacteria; Pseudomonadati; Bacteroidota.